Molecule: ribosomal RNA, 674 nt
Filed under: uncultured marine benthic group B euryarchaeote
Lineage: Archaea; Methanobacteriati; Methanobacteriota
Description: bacterial SSU rRNA
Rfam family: Archaeal small subunit ribosomal RNA
Source: RNAcentral
CCCUAUGGGGUGCAGCAGGCGCGAAACCUCCGCAAUACACGAAAGUGUGACGGGGUUACCCAAAGUGUUCAAUUUUGAACUGUGGUAGGUGAGUAAUGUUCCCUACUAGAAAGGAGAGGGCAAGGCUGGUGCCAGCCGCCGCGGUAAAACCAGCUCUUCAAGUGGUCGGGAUAAUUAUUGGGCUUAAAGUGUCCGUAGCCGGUUUAGUAAGUUCCUGGUAAAAUCGGGUAGCUUAACUAUCUAUAUGCUAGGAAUACUGCUAUACUAGAGGGCGGGAGAGGUCUGAGGUACUACAGGGGUAGGGGUGAAAUCUUAUAAUCCUUGUAGGACCACCAGUGGCGAAGGCGUCAGACUGGAACGCGCCUGACGGUGAGGGACGAAAGCCAGGGGAGCGAACCGGAUUAGAUACCCGGGUAGUCCUGGCCGUAAACGAUGCAUACUAGGUGAUGGCACGGCCAUGAGCCGUGUCAGUGCCGUAGGGAAACCGUUAAGUGUGCCGCCUGGGAAGUACGGUCGCAAGGCUAAAACUUAAAGGAAUUGGCGGGGGAGCACCACAAGGGGUGAAGCCUGCGGUUCAAUUGGACUCAACGCCGGAAAACUUACCAGGGGAGACAGCAGUAUAACGGUCAGGUUGACGACCUUACCUAACGAGCUGAGAGGUGGUGCAUGGCCAA